Molecule: ribosomal RNA, 497 nt
Filed under: uncultured bacterium
Lineage: Bacteria
Description: partial 16S ribosomal RNA
Rfam family: Bacterial small subunit ribosomal RNA
Source: RNAcentral
AGCGAACGCUGGCGGCGUGCCUAACACAUGCAAGUCGAACGUGAAAAGGGAAACCUGAGUACAGUGGCGUACGGGUGAGUAACGCGUAGGUAAUCUACCCCAGAAUCUGGAAUAACCUGCCGAAAGGCGGGCUAAUACUGGAUAGAGCGAGGGAACUCGUAAGAGAGUUUUUCGGGAAAGGGAGCCCGCAAGGGCCUUCGUUCUGGGAUGAGCCUGCGUCUCAUUAGCUAGUUGGUAAGGUAACGGCUUACCAAGGCGAUGAUGAGUAGCUGGUCUGAGAGGAUGAUCAGCCACACUGGAACUGAAACACGGUCCAGACUCCUACGGGAGGCAGCAGUGGGGAAUCUUGCGCAAUGGACGAAAGUCUGACGCAGCCACGCCGCGUGAGUGAAGAAGGCCUUCGGGUUGUAAAGCUCUGUCGGAUGGGACGAACAUCUUCAUAGUGAAUAGCUAUGAGGACUGACGGUACCAUCAAAGGAAGCACCGGCGAACUCCGU